This 468-nucleotide ribosomal RNA is filed under the name uncultured bacterium. RNAcentral describes it as "partial 16S ribosomal RNA". It matches the Rfam family "Bacterial small subunit ribosomal RNA", at positions 28 to 507 of the family's 1533-position model. The record is from RNAcentral.
GACGAACGCUGGCGGCGUGCUUAACACAUGCAAGUCGAACGGAAAGGCCCUGCUUUUGUGGGGUGCUCGAGUGGCGAACGGGUGAGUAACACGUGAGUAACCUGCCCUUGACUUUGGGAUAACUUCAGGAAACUGGGGCUAAUACCGGAUAGGAGCUCCUGCUGCAUGGUGGGGGUUGGAAAGUUUCGGCGGUUGGGGAUGGACUCGCGGCUUAUCAGCUUGUUGGUGGGGUAGUGGCUUACCAAGGCUUUGACGGGUAGCCCGCCUGAGAGGGUGACCGGCCACAUUGGGACUGAGGUACGGCGCAGACUCCUACGGGAGGCAGCAGUGGGGAGUAUUGCACAAUGGGCGGAAGCCUGAUGCAGCAACGCCGGGUGCGGGAUGACGGCCUUCGGGUUGUAAACAGCUUUCGCCUGUGACGAAGCGGGAGUGACGGUAAUGGGUAAAGAAGCACCGGCUAACUACGUG